RNAcentral lists this ribosomal RNA (597 nucleotides) under Aschersonia marginata. RNAcentral's name for it is "LSU rRNA". It matches the Rfam family "Eukaryotic large subunit ribosomal RNA", at positions 46 to 656 of the family's 3401-position model. The record is from RNAcentral. Lineage: Eukaryota; Fungi; Ascomycota; Sordariomycetes; Hypocreales; Clavicipitaceae.
AUAAGCGGAGGAAAAGAAACCAACAGGGAUUGCCCCAGUAACGGCGAGUGAAGCGGCAGCAGCUCAGAUUUGGAAUCCGGCCCCCCUCGCGGGGGCCCGAGUUGUAAUCUGCAGAGGAUGCUUUUGGCGAGGCGCCUUCCGAGUUCCCUGGAACGGGACGCCACAGAGGGUGAGAGCCCCGUCUGGUCGGACGCCGAGCCUCUGUAAAGCUCCUUCGACGAGUCGAGUAGUUUGGGAAUGCUGCUCUAAUCGGGAGGUAUAUGUCUUCUAAAGCUAAAUACCGGCCAGAGACCGAUAGCGCACAAGUAGAGUGAUCGAAAGAUGAAAAGCACUUUGAAAAGAGGGUUAAACAGUACGUGAAAUUGUUGAAAGGGAAGCGCUCGUGACCAGACUUGGUCCCUGCGGAUCAGCCGGCGCGUCCGCGCCGGCGCACUCCGCCGGGUUCCAGGCCAGCAUCAGUUCGCGCCGGGGGACAAAGGCGGCGGGAACGUGGCUCCCUCGGGAGUGUUAUAGCCCGCCGCGCAAUGCCCUGGGGCGGACUGAGGUUCGCGCGUCCCGCACGGAUGCUGGCGUAAUGGUCACCAGCGACCCGUCUUG